GGGUAUAGUUUCAUUCAUCAAUAUGCAGAUUGUCACGCCCUGACCAUAGAGAGCCCUCUAACUCAAAGUUUUUUGAGUUAGAUAAACUUGAAAUAGUCUUUCCAACUCUACUUCCAUGGCUUACGGCCAUACCAUAUGAAUACGCUUUUUGGGGGGAAUUUCAGGAAGUAAAUGAGCAGCAGGUGGCUGAGUGUUUGAGAGCGAGAGAAUAUUGUUUUUUUAGGUUUAUUUGAUACAUAAAUUUAAACGUUUUUCUGAGUGUAGUUUAUCCUCUUCUUAAACAUUUGCAUCAUUAUCCCCCAACGGAGUGAGCUGUUUGGGGGAUUCUGCUGAAAAUAACCGGACAGACGCCAUGACUUCGACGACGAGAAAGGACAACAGAAAAUCGUUUUAAAUUAAGAACUGAAUAGAAGUAUGAGAAAGAACUGACGGUGAAUGUGGAAAUCAUUGGAGAAGACAAAAUAAGGUCAAAUAAGUUUGUGGAACGAUACUUGAAUGUAGAACCAAAGACGGAAAUAAGUAUGAAGUAACAUGUCACGCCCUGACCUUAGUUCCUUUUUUAUGUCUCUAUUUUGGUUUGGUCAGGGCGUGAGUUGGGGUGGGCAUUCUGUUUUGUUCUAUAUUUCUGUGUUUGGCCUGGUAUGGUUCCCAAUCAGAGGCAGCUGUCAAUUGUUGUCUCUGAUUGAUAACCAUACUUAGGUAGCCUGUUCCCACCUGUGUUUGUGGGUAGUUGUUUCCUGUUGUGUCACCUGAUAAACUGUUUCGAUUCUCGUUGUUUCACCUUUGUUAUUUUGUAUUCAGUGUUCAGUUUAAUAAAUUUAACAUGGACACGUACCACGCUGCAUUUUGGUCCGAUCCUUCCUGUUCCUCAUCAGACGAGGACAACGAUCGUUACAUAACAAUGUCGCAUGUAAAUGGGAAAGAAAGACUAAUGGACGGGCUCAAGAUAAAGAACUGUCAAAUCAUGGCUAAAGAACUGGGGAACAAUGAACUUGUGGUGUCCUUUUUGAACUUGCCUGCAUUUAUUACGGAUGGUGAAUUACAUGUGAAAUCACAAGGCUGGAAAGUGAAGGCAACCACGCCGAUUAAGAAGAGGAUGUGUCCAGGAACAGACAUUGUAGACAGGAUGAGAUUUUGAAAAGUGUGAAAUCCUUGAAAUUUUCAACUAAAUUCAAUACAGUCGAGGGAUUUGAAUACUUCUGUGUGAUCCAUGUCAGUCAAGUGAAGGUAUGUAGACUAUGCAUUCAGCCAGGGCACAUACUUAAGGAAUGCCCAGAAUUCACAUGCCAUAAAUGUAGUGAACAAGGGCAUUAUGCUAGAGAAUGUUUGAACAUAGUUCAUGUGUGCAGAAUGUGUGACAGACCCAAAGAUAAAUGUAGAUGUAAUAAGGGAAAAGAUCACUUAUUUUUGCAAACAAUGGACCUCACUUCUGAGGAAGAUGAGGGGAGUGUGCCUAUGGAGAGGGAGGGAGAGAGUGACAUGGAGUGUGUCGCAGAUACAGGUGAUUCCAGAGACCGUAGCAGAUAUGCUUGGAGAGUAAUGUCGUCUGGCAAUACACGAGACGCAGUUUUAGUCUCUGCUGCUGACAAGGUGGAACAGCAGCACAUGAUGGGUGAACUAGAUACACAGGUAGAGAUGGUGCUUCUCAGGUGCCUGAGCCAGUCUUAAGCCUGUGUAAAAAUGACACCAAAGAGAGGACUGGGUCCACUGAAGUCGAUGGCACUGUUAAAUCACACUUUUCAAAUCCAAGUCAUGAGACGGAUGAUGAAAUAGAUAAUGAGGAUCCUUAGGAUGUAUGCAAGAAAUAAGAGGUCAUUGUCGAAAGCUAGGGAGAUGAUGGGUUUUGGAAAAAAUAAUGUCUCUUUUGAAAUGACGUGUUUGAUUCUGGUUAUAUUUCUGCACACAUGAAUAAUUAUUGAAGUUGCAUCCCUAAUUGGAAACAAAUUUGAGCAGGUUUUGGUGUCUGUUAAGGCAGACAUGUUGUGUUUUCAGGAGACUAAAUUGGACGGACUCCAAUACAGGAGAUUAAGAGUAAAUGGUCUGAUCUAAUCUUUUGUAGUCACAGAAGUAAUAAAACAUGUGGAGUGGCUAUUUUGAUAAAUGUGGUUUAAAAUGUCAAACAAAUAUAUGCAGACAAUCAUGGCAGACUUAUUGUAAUUGAUUUUGAAGUUCAAAAUGUCACUGUUUAAUUUAUGUUUAUGCUUCAAACAUUGAAUCUGAAAGGAGAGAUAUGUUUCACAACCUAAAACACAGUGCUCAGAAAACUGUAUACUGGUAGGAGACUUUAAUGUGAAGUGUAGUAGAAUGGAUGUCUCUCGUUGUGAUAGUUUCAGAUAUGAUUCUUCUAGAAAUGCUUUAUGGAAAGUUAUGAAUGAGGAAAAUCUAGUAGAUAUAUAUGGAGGGCUGAAAAUCAAAACAGAAGAGUGUUUGAGAAGGCAGGUGGUUAUAAAUGAAUUAAAACAAAGCAGAAUUUAUGUCCAGCUAAGGAAGAAGUGGUACAGCAUGUUCAGAGGAUGUCAUAACUUCACAGCAGUAAUGUCAUUUCAAAUAGGUUUUGGUGUGGAGAGGAGAGGUGUUUGAAUGCUAGCUUGCUUAAAGAAGAUACAUAUAUAAAUGUAAUUUCUAGAUGUAUUAAUAUUUAAUUAAAUAAUCCUAUUACGCAUGUUAAUAUUGGGUUGUGGUGGGAGAAACUCAAGGAUACGAUUAAAAAGUUGAGUAUCAAAUAUGCCAGUAGUAGAAACUUUAUUUUAAAGCGGGAGGGUAUUGAGCUGCGCAGGCACCUUUACUCUAACCCCCCACCAACCUUAACUGCAUCUCACUCAAAUUCUCACCUUUAUCUGAACCCCUUACACCAAUACCCGUUUUCUGCCACACCGCAUAGCAACAGUACAGACCAAACAAAAAGGCCCACACCACCUGGGCCACGCCCACCAAACACUAGAGGCAGCACACCUCACAACUUUACAGGGGGGACAACCAGACAACACAUUGCUCCACAAAUUCAAUCAAGACUACAAUAAGGCAAGUAAAACACACAGAACACCACAUGUGUAAACACAAUAUUAUAAUGUUUUAUAUUUUUCUCCCUCCUACCUGAUGAAGCCGAGUAAGGCAGAAACGCGUCGUGGCCGGGAUACCUCUAGAUCUUUAGUGUUGCUUUUAGGAAGGCAGGUUCCACACAAAUGUCAGAGGGGUCUCUUUUUGGCUACUUUUUCAUUUGUACUUUUCUUUUUCCUUAAUUUGAGUUUUACACAGCCUUAUAUAUACACAAACACGGCGAUGAAGGAUAGUGUUAUGUUGUAUCACCACUAUGUUAUCCCUCACCCCCUUGUGGGGAUGUAUACGCAUAUUUUUGUAUAAAUAUAUGGGUACAUAGGCACGUCUUUCAACAUUUUGAAGAUUUUAAAACGGGACGACAGUGGGCCUCACCUUGGUUUUCUUUAUUGAACUUGUUUUAAAUAAUUUGUUUUAACAGCAGGAGCCGACAGAGAUGGCCGCCUCGCUUCGCGUUCCUAGGAAACUAUGCAGUAUUUAGUUUUUUUACGUGUUAUUUCUUACAUUGUUACCCCAGGUAAUCUUAGGUUUUAUUACAUACAGUUGGGAGGAACUAUUGGAUAUAAGAGCAACGUCAACUCACCAACAUUACGACCAGGAAUACGACUUUCCCGAAGCGGAUCCUGUGUUUUGCCCACCACUCAGGACAAUGGAUCGGAUCCCAGCCCGCGAUCCAAAACAACGACGCCGUAAAAGGGGCAGACGAAGCAGUGUCUACCUUAUGAAAUUUGAGCAAGGGUAGCAUUCCAGAGACAUAAGAUACUAACGUUCUUUGCUUCACGGAAACAUGGCUCACUCGAGACAAGUAUCGGAGUCGAUACAGCCAGCUGGUUUCUUCCCCCAUUGCGCCGACAGAAACAAGCAUCUUUCUGGUAGGAAGAAGGGCGGGGGGUGUAUGCCUUAUGAUUAACGAGACGUGGUGUGAUCAUGACAACAUACAGGAACUCAAGUCCUUCUGUUCACCUGACUUGGAAUUCCUCACAAUCAAAUGCCGACCGCAUUAUCUACCAAGAGAAUUAUCUUCGAUUAUAAUCACAGCCGCAUAUCCCCUCAGAUGCAGACACAUCGAUGGCCCUGAACGAACUUCAUUUGACUCUAUGUAAACUGGAAACCACAUAUCCCGAGGCUGCAUUCAUUGUAGCUGGUGAUUUAAACAAGGCUAAUCUGAAAACAAGACUCCCUGAAUUCUAUCAGUAUAUCAAUUGUGCAACCAGGGGCCUGUUGCACAAAAGUAGAAUUAAGACAUCCGGGAUAAAUGACUCAGCUGAGCUCAAUGAAGCCAAAACAUGUGCGUCCAGGCUUAAUUGGUUGCACAAAGACCAAGCCAGGAUGAGCAGACACGGAUUCAUUAAGCCAGGUGAAACCAAUCCUGGAUAGGUGCGCGCUCACGGCUCACUCAAAUAGACCCCGCCACAGAUCACAGAUUAACUGAUUUACCAUGGCAACUAGAGCCGCGUACUUUUCCCCGUCGGAAGCACAAAUCCUCAUGGAUGCAUACGAGGAGGUAAAAGAUAUAAUUAAGAAGAAAGGCAACACCGCCACAGUGAUAAAGCAAAGAGAAAAAGCGUGGCAAAGUAUUGCAGACCGCCUGAAUGCGUAAGUAGUGCACAAUUACACAGUCACCGCUCCGCUGAAACAUCACAAUUACAAUUCAAAUAUUUAAUUCACAUCUCCAAAAAUGCAGUUGUACUGUAAUUAUGAAACGGUUAAAUUUUUAAUUGAAAUGCACUGCAGAUAUGAGUGAAAUUGUGUAAAGUAACUCCAUCACACUGUAUAAAGCUAUGAUACAUUUUGAUAUUUUUACUGAAAACAAGACAAAAAUAGCAAGUAAUUUUUUGCAGUGUGACUCCAUUAAAUGUGUGUGUGUGUGUGUGUGUGUAGAUUAAACAUGAACGGGCCAAAACGGACAUGGCAGCAGGUCAAAAUCAAAUACAAGAACAUUCUGCAGAAUGGUAUGGUCCCUGACUAAUAUUUAACAAAGCACAAGCAUAUAUUGUACCCAGAAGGUGCCUGCUCACACAUUGUCUGUACUGUUUUAGCAGUGAAAAAGAAUACCCACAGACAAGGCACGGGUGGUGGGUCACCAAAGGCUGACCUUACCCCAGCAGAGGACAUGGCCUUGGAGCUAAAUAAAGGCAGGCCCGUCUUAGAGGGGAUCCCUGGGGGGAAAGAGACGAGCAUAGGUUCCUCCCAAGAUGCCACCCGCUUCAUUCAAGUGUCUGGCAGCACUGUGUUCCUGUUCGAGCCACCAGCACAAGCACCAGACGAUGCUGAUCCAGGUGAAGGCCCCAGUGCAGCAGCAACAGCACAUGAUGGAGACGAUGAUGAGGAGGAGACCAUCUCUCUGGAUUCCAGAAGGCAUGAGGUAUCAUGUUAAGACUGUGAAAGUACU
Molecule: long non-coding RNA, 5446 nt
Organism: Salvelinus fontinalis (brook trout)
Lineage: Eukaryota; Metazoa; Chordata; Actinopteri; Salmoniformes; Salmonidae
Exons: 3
Source: RefSeq, a predicted model, not a curated record